CCUACGGGAGGCUGCAGUGAGGAAUAUUGGUCAAUGGACGAGAGUCUGAACCAGCCAAGUAGCGUGAGGGAUGACUGCCCUAUGGGUUGUAAACUUCUUUUAUAUGGGAAUAAAAUUUUGUACGUAUAGUGUUUUGUAUGUACCAUAUGAAUAAGGAUCGGCUAACUCCGUGCCAGCAGCAGCGGUAAUACGGAGGAUCCGAGCGUUAUCCGGAUUUAUUGGGUUUAAAGGGAGCGUAGGCGGAUUGUUAAGUCAGUUGUGAAAGUUUGCGGCUCAACCGUAAAAUUGCAGUUGAUACUGGCAGUCUUGAGUGCAGUAGAGGUGGGCGGAAUUCGUGGUGUAGCGGUGAAAUGCUUAGAUAUCACGAAGAACUCCGAUUGCGAAGGCAGUUCACUGGACUGUAACUGACGCUGAGGCUCGAAAGUGUGGGUAUCAAACAGGAUUAGAUACCCUUGUAGUC
This 460-nucleotide ribosomal RNA is filed under the name uncultured bacterium. RNAcentral's name for it is "partial 16S ribosomal RNA". It matches the Rfam family "Bacterial small subunit ribosomal RNA", at positions 338 to 795 of the family's 1533-position model. The record is from RNAcentral.